This 513-nucleotide ribosomal RNA is filed under the name Triticum aestivum (bread wheat). RNAcentral's name for it is "partial small subunit ribosomal RNA". The record is from RNAcentral. Lineage: Eukaryota; Viridiplantae; Streptophyta; Magnoliopsida; Poales; Poaceae.
AUGAUGAGGGAGAAGGUGGUGACCAAUAGGAGAUAUUCGAGCUCAGGAGUAACAUGGCACAAAGGGAUGUUGGUUGAUAAGAUUCAUCCACAUACCAUGUCAAUAUUCUUGGACAAGUCUCCGAACCAUCUAAGCGGCGAUCUCGACCUCUCCUGGCCCGCCACCCCUCUGGUGCUGGACGAAGACAACGAGGUCCCUGCUCCCGUGGUGCCGCUGCCUUCUCCUCCGCCCGUCGCCACCCCUAUGGUGGCCUCCCCCGCCCGCCGCCGGAGCGCCCGCCUUGCCGGGAUCGAGCCUUCGGAGUACGUCUCCAUCAUCCAGAAGGCCACUCAGCGCAUGCGUGUCUUGAAGGAAGGAAAGAUUUUUGCUGGUGGAAAGGCGCUCCUCCCAGUUCAGCUCAUCGACUUGGCGCCCGAGGUCUCCUCGCCCCUCCCUCGGCAGGACGUGCUGGAGCUUGCCGCUGCCUGUGACGUGCCUGCCUCGGCUCUCCUUGAUGACACCGCAUGUGUCUAA